RNAcentral lists this ribosomal RNA (379 nucleotides) under Paenibacillus piri. RNAcentral's name for it is "bacterial SSU rRNA". It matches the Rfam family "Bacterial small subunit ribosomal RNA", at positions 1 to 380 of the family's 1533-position model. The record is from RNAcentral. Lineage: Bacteria; Bacillati; Bacillota; Bacilli; Caryophanales; Paenibacillaceae.
UGGAGAGUUUGAUCCUGGCUCAGGACGAACGCUGGCGGCGUGCCUAAUACAUGCAAGUCGAGCGGACUGUCCCUUCGGGGACAGUUAGCGGCGGACGGGUGAGUAACACGUAGGCAACCUGCCUGUAAGACCGGGAUAACUAUCGGAAACGAUAGCUAAGAGCGGAUAGCUGGACGGAACGCAUGUUCUGUUCAUGAAACACGGAGCAAUCUGUGGCUUACAGAUGGGCCUGCGGCGCAUUAGCUAGUUGGUGGGGUAACGGCCCACCAAGGCGACGAUGCGUAGCCGACCUGAGAGGGUGAUCGGCCACACUGGGACUGAGACACGGCCCAGACUCCUACGGGAGGCAGCAGUAGGGAAUCUUCCGCAAUGGACGCAA